This 20-nucleotide unclassified non-coding RNA is filed under the name Mus musculus (house mouse). RNAcentral's name for it is "oocyte_clustered_small_RNA11842". Lineage: Eukaryota; Metazoa; Chordata; Mammalia; Rodentia; Muridae. The record is from RNAcentral.
CUUUGGCAGCACAGUACGAG